RNAcentral lists this ribosomal RNA (1357 nucleotides) under metagenome. Its description in RNAcentral is "bacterial LSU rRNA". It matches the Rfam family "Bacterial large subunit ribosomal RNA", at positions 1564 to 2925 of the family's 2925-position model. The record is from RNAcentral.
CGAAUACAAAAUGCUAAGGCGUUGAAGUAGCGUAUGUCAUGCUUCCAAGAAAAGCUUGCACUGUCAUAGAUAAAAAAUGCCUGUACCAUAACCGACACAGGUAGGUAGGUAGAGUAUACUAAGGGGCGCGAGAUAACUCUCUCUAAGGAACUCGGCAAAAUAACUCCGUAACUUCGGGAGAAGGAGUGCCUUAUUCAGAUAAGGUUGCAAUAACAAGAUCCAAGCAGCUGUUUACCAAAAACACAGGUCUCCGCUAAGUCGUAAGACGAUGUAUGGGGGCUGACGCCUGCCCAGUGCCAGAAGGUUAAAGAAGUUGGUUAGCAUUUGCGAAGCUGAUAACUGAAGCCCUGGUGAACGGCGGCCGUAACUAUAACGGUCCUAAGGUAGCGAAAUUCCUUGUCGGGUAAGUUCCGACCUGCACGAAAGGCGUAAUGAUUUGGAUACUGUCUCGGAGAGAGGCUCGGUGAAAUAGACUUGUCUGUGAAGAUGCGGACUACCUGCACCUGGACAGAAAGACCCUAUGAAGCUUUACUGUAACUUGAAAUUGGAAUUGGACUUUAUUCGCGCAGUAUAGGUGGGAAGCGUUGAAAAUACUCUUGCGGGAGUAUUGGAGCUAUCAGUGAGAUACCACUCUUAUAAUGUUAGAUUUCUAACUUUGAGCCAUUAUCUGGUCAAAGAACAGUUUCAGGCGGGCAGUUUGACUGGGGCGGUCGCCUCCCAAACGGUAACGGAGGCGUACAAAGGUUUCCUCUGAACGAAUAGAAAUCGUAUCUAGAGUAUAAAGGCAAAAGGAAGCUUGACUGUGAGACCUACAAGUCGAGCAGGGACGAAAGUCGGUCUUAGUGAUCUGACGGUACUGAGUGGAAAGGCCGUCACUCAACGGAUAAAAGUUACUCUAAGGAUAACAGGCUGAUCUCCCCCAAGAGUUCACAUCGACGGGGAGGUUUGGCACCUCGAUGUCGGCUCAUCGCAUCCUGGGGCGGUAGUACGUCCCAAGGGUUGGGCUGUUCGCCCAUGAAAGCGGUACGCGAGCUGGGUUCAGAACGUCGUGAGACAGUUCGGUCCAUAUCCGGUGUAGGCGUUAGAAUAUUGAGAGGAGCCUUCUCUAGUACGAGAGGACCGAGAAGGACAUACCUCUGGUGUACCAGUUAUCGUGCCAACGGUAAACGCUGGGUAGCUAUGUAUGGAGUGGAUAACCGCUGAAAGCAUCUAAGUGGGAAGCCCACCUCAAGAUGAGUAUUCUCAUCACGUAAGUGAGUAAGGUCACGGUAAGACUAACCGUUUGAUAGGCAUCAAGUGUAAGUACAGUAAUGUAUGACCCUUGGACCGUUUCGACGCCUCUGAGGAGCUGAGAUGU